Molecule: ribosomal RNA, 289 nt
Filed under: uncultured Erysipelothrix sp.
Lineage: Bacteria; Bacillati; Bacillota; Erysipelotrichia; Erysipelotrichales; Erysipelotrichaceae
Description: partial 16S ribosomal RNA
Rfam family: Bacterial small subunit ribosomal RNA
Source: RNAcentral
GAGCGCAACCCCUGUAUCAGUUGCCAUCGGGUAGAGCCGGGGACGUCUGAUAAGACUGCCUGCGCAAGCAGAGAGGAAGGAGGGGACGACGUCAAGUCAUCAUGGCCCUUACGCCCAGGGCGACACACGUGCUACAAUGGCGUAUACAACGGGAAGCGAAAUGGUGACAUGGAGCAAAUCUCACAAAGUACGUCUCAGUUCGGAUUGAAGUCUGCAACUCGACUUCAUGAAGUCGGAAUCGCUAGUAAUCGCGGAUCAGCAUGCCGCGGUGAAUACGUUCUCGGGCCUU